CUUUUGGGGGGUCAAACUGUACGUUCUAUGUGGCAAUCUUAGAAAUUCAUAAGCGUAUAGCUUUUCCCCUUAAAAG
Molecule: non-coding RNA, 76 nt
Organism: Drosophila ananassae
Lineage: Eukaryota; Metazoa; Arthropoda; Insecta; Diptera; Drosophilidae
Source: Rfam